RNAcentral lists this ribosomal RNA (468 nucleotides) under uncultured bacterium. RNAcentral's name for it is "partial 16S ribosomal RNA". It matches the Rfam family "Bacterial small subunit ribosomal RNA", at positions 28 to 507 of the family's 1533-position model. The record is from RNAcentral.
GACGAACGCUGGCGGCGUGCUUAACACAUGCAAGUCGAACGGAAAGGCCCUGCUUUUGUGGGGUGCUCGAGUGGCGAACGGGUGAGUAACACGUGAGUAACCUGCCCUUGACUUUGGGAUAACUUCAGGAAACUGGGGCUAAUACCGGAUAGGAGCUCCUGCUGCAUGGUGGGGGUUGGAAAGUUUCGGCGGUUGGGGAUGGACUCGCGGCUUAUCAGCUUGUUGGUGGGGUAGUGGCUUACCAAGGCUUUGACGGGUAGCCGGCCUGAGAGGGUGACCGGCCACAUUGGGACUGAGAUACGGCCCAGACUCCUACGGGAGGCAGCAGUGGGGAAUAUUGCACAAUGGGCGGAAGCCUGAUGCAGCAACGCCGCGUGCGGGAUGACGGCCUUCGGGUUGUAAACCGCUUUCGCCUGUGACGAAGCGUGAGUAACGGUAAUGGGUAAAGAAGCACCGGCUAACUACGUG